Molecule: ribosomal RNA, 224 nt
Filed under: uncultured bacterium
Lineage: Bacteria
Description: partial 16S ribosomal RNA
Rfam family: Bacterial small subunit ribosomal RNA
Source: RNAcentral
GAUCAUGGCUCAGGAUAAACGCUGGCGGCGCACAUAAGACAUGCAAGUCGAACGGAAGUCGUUGUAAUGAAUUUGAAGUGGACAGAGAACUUGUUCAAAGAAAGCAGAUGAUGAUUUACAACAAUGGCUUUAGUGGCGGACUGGUGAGUAACGCGUAAGCAAUCUGCCUAUUAGAGGGGAAUAACAAUGAGAAAUCAUUGCUAAUACUGCAUAUGCCAUAAGAA